RNAcentral lists this ribosomal RNA (475 nucleotides) under uncultured Desulfobulbus sp. RNAcentral's name for it is "bacterial SSU rRNA". It matches the Rfam family "Bacterial small subunit ribosomal RNA", at positions 912 to 1382 of the family's 1533-position model. Lineage: Bacteria; Pseudomonadati; Thermodesulfobacteriota; Desulfobulbia; Desulfobulbales; Desulfobulbaceae. The record is from RNAcentral.
GACGGGGGCCCGCACAAGCGGUGGAGCACGUGGUUAAUUCGAUGCAACGCGAAGAACCUUACCUGGUCUUGACAUCCCGGAGACCCUUAGGAAACUAGGGGGUGCUUCCAUCUGGAAGAAUCUGGAGACAGGUGCUGCAUGGCUGUCGUCAGCUCGUGUCGUGAGAUGUUGGGUUAAGUCCCGCAACGAGCGCAACCCUUGCCUUUAGUUGCCAGCAGUUCGGCUGGGCACUCUAAAGGGACUGCCGGUGUUAAACCGGAGGAAGGUGGGGAUGACGUCAAGUCCCCAUGGCCUUUAUGACCAGGGCUACACACGUACUACAAUGGCCGAUACAAAGGGCAGCGACACUGCGAGGUGAAGCCAAUCCCGUAAAAUCGGUCUCAGUCCGGAUUGGAGUCUGCAACUCGACUCCAUGAAGUUGGAAUCGCUAGUAAUCGUGGAUCAGCAUGCCACGGUGAAUACGUUCCCGGGCCUU